Molecule: unclassified non-coding RNA, 335 nt
Filed under: soil metagenome
Description: partial contains 5.8S ribosomal RNA, internal transcribed spacer 2, and large subunit ribosomal RNA
Rfam family: 5.8S ribosomal RNA (bases 1-120)
Source: RNAcentral
GAUGAAGAACUUAGCGAAAUGCGAUAAGUAAUGUGAAUUGCAGAAUUCAGUGAAUCAUCGAAUCUUUGAACGCACAUUGCGCCCGCCAGUAUUCUGGCGGGCAUGCCUGUUCGAGCGUCAUUUCAACCAUCAAGCCCCCGGCUUGUGUUGGGGACCUGCGGCUGCCGCAGGCCCUGAAAACCAGUGGCGGGCUCGCUAGUCACUCCGAGCGUAGUAAUACAUCUCGCUCAGGGCGUGCUGCGGGUUCCGGCCGUUAAAAAGCCUUAUUUACCCAAGGUUGACCUCGGAUCAGGUAGGAAGACCCGCUGAACUUAAGCAUAUCAAUAAGCGGAGGA